GACGAACGCUGGCGGCGUGCUUAACACAUGCAAGUCGAGCGGUAAGGCCCUUUCGGGGGUACACGAGCGGCGAACGGGUGAGUAACACGUGGGUGACCUGCCCUUAGCUCUGGGAUAAGCCUGGGAAACUGGGUCUAAUACCGGAUAUGACUCCAUGACGCAUGUUGUGGGGUGGAAAGCCUUGUGCGGCUAGGGAUGGGCCCGCGGCCUAUCAGCUUGUUGGUGGGGUGAUGGCCUACCAAGGCGACGACGGGUAGCCGGCCUGAGAGGCGACCGGCCACACUGGGACUGAGACACGGCCCAGACUCCUACGGGAGGCAGCAGUGGGGAAUCUUGCGCAAUGGGCGAAAGCCUGACGCAGCGACGCCGCGU
Molecule: ribosomal RNA, 372 nt
Filed under: uncultured bacterium
Lineage: Bacteria
Description: bacterial SSU rRNA
Rfam family: Bacterial small subunit ribosomal RNA
Source: RNAcentral